GUGUGUUCCAGGUAAAUCCGGUUCACUUUAACACUGAGGCGUGACGACGAGGCACUACGGUGCUGAAGCAACAAAUGCCCUGCUUCCAGGAAAAGCCUCUAAGCAUCAGGUAACAUCAAAUCGUACCCCAAACCGACACAGGUGGUCAGGUAGAGAAUACCAAGGCGCUUGAGAGAACUCGGGUGAAGGAACUAGGCAAAAUGGUGCCGUAACUUCGGGAGAAGGCACGCUGACACGUAGGUGAAGUGAUUUACUCAUGGAGCUGAAGUCAGUCGAAGAUACCAGCUGGCUGCAACUGUUUAUUAAAAACACAGCACUGUGCAAACACGAAAGUGGACGUAUACGGUGUGACGCCUGCCCGGUGCCGGAAGGUUAAUUGAUGGGGUCAGCGCAAGCGAAGCUCCUGAUCGAAGCCCCGGUAAACGGCGGCCGUAACUAUAACGGUCCUAAGGUAGCGAAAUUCCUUGUCGGGUAAGUUCCGACCUGCACGAAUGGCGUAAUGAUGGCCAGGCUGUCUCCACCCGAGACUCAGUGAAAUUGAACUCGCUGUGAAGAUGCAGUGUACCCGCGGCAAGACGGAAAGACCCCGUGAACCUUUACUAUAGCUUGACACUGAACAUUGAGCCUUGAUGUGUAGGAUAGGUGGGAGGCUUUGAAGCGUGGACGCCAGUCUGCGUGGAGCCGACCUUGAAAUACCACCCUUUAAUGUUUGAUGUUCUAACGUGGACCCGUAAUCCGGGUUGCGGACAGUGUCUGGUGGGUAGUUUGACUGGGGCGGUCUCCUCCUAAAGAGUAACGGAGGAGCACGAAGGUUGGCUAAUCCUGGUCGGACAUCAGGAGGUUAGUGCAAUGGCAUAAGCCAGCUUGACUGCGAGCGUGACGGCGCGAGCAGGUGCGAAAGCAGGUCAUAGUGAUCCGGUGGUUCUGAAUGGAAGGGCCAUCGCUCAACGGAUAAAAGGUACUCCGGGGAUAACAGGCUGAUACCGCCCAAGAGUUCAUAUCGACGGCGGUGUUUGGCACCUCGAUGUCGGCUCAUCACAUCCUGGGGCUGAAGUAGGUCCCAAGGGUAUGGCUGUUCGCCAUUUAAAGUGGUACGCGAGCUGGGUUUAGAACGUCGUGAGACAGUUCGGUCCCUAUCUGCCGUGGGCGCUGGAGAACUGAGGGGGGCUGCUCCUAGUACGAGAGGACCGGAGUGGACGCAUCACUGGUGUUCGGGUUGUCAUGCCAAUGGCACUGCCCGGUAGCUAAAUGCGGAAGAGAUAAGUGCUGAAAGCAUCUAAGCACGAAACUUGCCCCGAGAUGAGUUCUCCCUGAGACUUAGAGUCUCCUGAAGGAACGUUGAAGACGACGACGUUGAUAGGCCGGGUGUGUAAGCGCAGCGAUGCGUUGAGCUAACCGGUACUAAUGAACCGUGAGGCUUAACCUU
This 1426-nucleotide ribosomal RNA is filed under the name Salmonella enterica. RNAcentral's name for it is "partial 23S ribosomal RNA". It matches the Rfam family "Bacterial large subunit ribosomal RNA", at positions 1525 to 2925 of the family's 2925-position model. The record is from RNAcentral. Lineage: Bacteria; Pseudomonadati; Pseudomonadota; Gammaproteobacteria; Enterobacterales; Enterobacteriaceae.